UACGUAGAUGGCAAGCGUUGUCCGGAAUUAUUGGGCGUAAAGCGCGCGCAGGCGGUCCUUUAAGUCUGAUGUGAAAGCCCACGGCUCAACCGUGGAGGGUCAUUGGAAACUGGGGGACUUGAGUACAGAAGAGAAGAGUGGAAUUCCACGUGUAGCGGUGAAAUGCGUAGAGAUGUGGAGGAACACCAGUGGCGAAGGCGGCUCUUUGGUCUGUAACUGACGCUGAGGCGCGAAAGCGUGGGGAGCAAACAGG
This 253-nucleotide ribosomal RNA is filed under the name uncultured bacterium. RNAcentral describes it as "partial 16S ribosomal RNA". It matches the Rfam family "Bacterial small subunit ribosomal RNA", at positions 524 to 776 of the family's 1533-position model. The record is from RNAcentral.